GACGAACGCUGGCGGCGUGCUUAACACAUGCAAGUCGAACGGAAAGGCCCUGCUUUUGUGGGGUGCUCGAGUGGCGAACGGGUGAGUAACACGUGAGUAACCUGCCCUUGACUUUGGGAUAACUUCAGGAAACUGGGGCUAAUACCGGAUAGGAGCUCCUGCUGCAUGGUGGGGGUUGGAAAGUUUCGGCGGUUGGGGAUGGACUCGCGGCUUAUCAGCUUGUGGGUGGGGUAGUGGCUUACCAAGGCUUUGACGGGUAGCCGGCCUGAGAGGGUGACCGGCCACAUUGGGACUGAGAUACGGCCCAGACUGCUACGGGAGGCAGCAGUGGGGAAUAUUGCACAAUGGGCGGAAGCCUGAUGCAGCAACGCCGCGUGCGGGAUGACGGCCUUCGGGUUGUAAACCGCUUUCGCCUGUGACGAAGCGUGAGUGACGGUAAUGGGUAAAGAAGCACCGGCUAACUACGUG
This 468-nucleotide ribosomal RNA is filed under the name uncultured bacterium. RNAcentral's name for it is "partial 16S ribosomal RNA". It matches the Rfam family "Bacterial small subunit ribosomal RNA", at positions 28 to 507 of the family's 1533-position model. The record is from RNAcentral.